This 171-nucleotide ribosomal RNA is filed under the name uncultured bacterium. Its description in RNAcentral is "partial 16S ribosomal RNA". The record is from RNAcentral.
CACGCCCUAAACGAUGUCAACUAGUUGUCGGGGAGGGUGACCUCUUUGGUAACGCAGCUAACGCGUGAAGUUGACCGCCUGGGGANACGCGAAAAACCUUACCUACCCUUGACAUGUACGGAAGCCCGAUGAGAGUUGGGUGUGCCUGAAAGGGAACCGUAACACAGGUGC